AAUGAACGUUGGCGGCGUGGAUUAGGCAUGCAAGUCGUGCGGAAAGGCCCCGCAAGGGGUACUCGAGCGGCGUAAGGGAUAGUAAUGCGUGGAUACCUGCCCUGGGGACGGGGAUAGCUGCUGGAAACGGCGAUUAAUACCCGAUGACGUCUCCGGACCAAAGGUGCAAUUCCGCCCUGGGAGGGGUCCGCGUCCUAUUAGCUAGUUGGUGAGGUAACGGCUCACCAAGGCCACGAUGGGUAGCGGGUGUGAGAGCACGACCCGCAUCACUGGGGCUGAGACACUGCCCAGACACCUACGGGUGGCUGCAGUCGAGGAUCUUCGGCAAUGGGCGAAAGCCUGACCGAGCGACGCCGCGUGCGGGAUGAAGGCCUUCGGGUUGUAAACCGCUUUCGGAGGGGAGGAAGUGCAAGGGGGAUCACCCCCUCGUUUGACCUAUCCUCAGAAGAAGGACGGGCUAAGUUCGUGCCAGCAGCCGCCGUAA
RNAcentral lists this ribosomal RNA (484 nucleotides) under uncultured bacterium. RNAcentral describes it as "partial 16S ribosomal RNA". It matches the Rfam family "Bacterial small subunit ribosomal RNA", at positions 28 to 523 of the family's 1533-position model. The record is from RNAcentral.